GACUCUUGGAUAAUACAGGGAACUAAGUCAAUAGGUUGGAAAUUUAGCAACCUACAUGUCUAUCAAAUGCAUCACUAUUCACUCAAUCAAAUCAAGUCUUUACAUUACUAUUAUAUGAACACAUGAUGAGAGAAAAAUGAGCAAAUCAAUGGAAGGAUUUACCAUAAUUUUGUUUUGCUCCACUUUAUUCUCAACCUUGAUAACUUCCACUGCAGUAGACAUCAUCAGACAAAAUCAAACCAUUAGAGACGGCGACAGCCGCGACACAAUUGUAUCAGCAGGUGGAGAAUUUGAACUUGGAUUUUUCAGCCCCGGUAGCUCCACGAAUCGAUAUCUGGGAAUAUGGUACAAGAAAAUAUCAACUACGACAGUUGUAUGGGUAGCUAAUCGAGAGACUCCACUUACUAAUACGUCAGGCAUAGUAAUGGUCAAUAGCGAGGGAAUUAGAGUGCUUACUAAUGAUAGUGAAAGGACAAUUUGGUCAUCGAAUUUGUCGAGGUCUGUGAUGAAUCCUAUGGCACAACUAUUAGAUACAGGGAAUCUUGUUUUCCUGGAUGAGAACGACAGUGACCCAGUCAAUUUUCUUUGGCAGAGUUUUGAUUAUCCUGGAGAUACUUUGCUACCAGGAAUGAAGUAUGGAUUGGACUUGGUUACUGGCCUAAACAGGUACUUCACAUCAUGGAAAAGUGCUGAUGAUCCAUCUCCAGGUAGUUUUACGAACCGGGUUGAUCCCAGUGGCAUUCCACAGUUAUUUUGGUGGAAAGGGUCAACGCUACGGUCUAGGUCUGGACCAUGGGUUGGUUGUCAAGUAAGUGGAAAUCCUAAUAGUAUACCAAAUGGAAUCUAUAAAGAGGAGUUUGUUUUCAAUGAGAAGGAAAUAUAUUAUAAAUUUGAUCUUCUCAAUAAAAGUUCUUCUCCUACUACAAGGUUUAUAGUGAAUCCGAAUGGUGAUGCACAAACUCUGAUAUGGAAUGAUCGAAAUCAAUAUUGGAUGGUUUAUGUUACUAUACAUGUUAGUGAUUGUGACCGUUAUGGAUUGUGUGGUGCAUAUGGUAGUUGUAACAUUAACAAUUCCCCUAGAUGUGAAUGCUUGAGAGGAUUUGUUCCAAAGUUACCAGAAAAUUGGGAAGCAGCAGAUUGGUCUGACGGGUGUGUCCGCAAAACCCUACUGGACUGUGGAAAUGGAGAUGGUUUUACUAAGUAUUCGGUUGUGAAAUUGCCAGACACACGAUACUCAUGGUAUAACAUGAGCAUGAACCUUGAGGAAUGUGAGAGGGUGUGCUUGAAGAACUGCUCUUGUACAGCUUAUGCAAAUGCAGAUAUCAGAGGAGGUGGAAGUGGGUGUUACCUAUGGUUUAAUGAGCUGAUAGAUACCAGUGGCUACACAGCAGAUGGGCAAGAUCUUUAUGUAAGAAUGUCUGCCUCUGAAUUAGGUAAGACUACUUUGUCCACACAUUAAAGGUUUUACUCAACAUAUCUGCCUCAGUUUUUUUUUGCUUUUCUAGGAUUCUGUAUUUAUAUUUUGAAAUUAUUAGGCUACGCGGAGGAAAGCAAGAGAUUCAGACUAAAGAGGCGAAUGCAGAUCAUAGUCAUUCCUGUAGUACCAACAGUACUACUUGCCUUUUUCUUGUUUGUAUUCAAGAAGAGAAUUCUGAAGAGAGGAGGUAAAUAUGACUGAAUUUUACAUUAAAACAAAAACUGCAUUUAUUAACCAAAGACAACUAUUACGACCACAAAUAGAAGAAAAGUCCAAAUUGAAUUGUCAAGAAAACUAAUACGGACUCUUUGAAGAUUUGGUUCAGAAUUUUGGGAGUAUAUAAUAUUUCUAUUCCUUGUCUAGGCAUUUGAAACACUUGUUCACUUGUGCUUUGAUUUCACUUCUCCUUUCACAGGAUGGUUGAAAUUCAGUUCAGAAAAAAUAUUUCCGUACAAAAAUGAGGGGGAAGAUUUUCAGUUACCAUUAUUUGACUUCAAAAAAAUUGCAAGUGCUACAAAUAACUUCUCCCACAACAAUAAGCUUGGAGAGGGCGGCUUUGGACCUGUUUACAAGGUGAUUAUAUUGAUAAAUAUCAUUUGCAUAAUUAUGCAAAAAUAGUUCGCUAAACACUGUAUAUGCACUAUAAGGCACCAAAAGAGUGUUCGUUUGUAUUUUACUCACAAAACAUUUUUCAACUUAAAGCACAACACUACAUUAUAGUUAACGUUUACUUACCGACUCAAAACUAGUAGAAAUGUCUCUACCUCGAAAUAAUUAUUAUUAAUAAAAUGAAAAAUAUAUGUUUAAACGAUUAAAAUGAUACUUUCAUGUGUGAAGUGCAUGUAACAGAUAAAAUAUUGAUACACGUCAUGUUUGGCUCCAAUGGAGAUGUGUUGUUACUGUAAUAUGGAAGUUAUCAGGUGUAUGAAAUGUGCAUCUUCUAUAAUGUAGCCGACUUAGUCAAAUGAUUUGAGUCAAAUUUAAACAAAGGAUAGCAUUAUAAUGGUGAUGAAACAGAGAAAGGAACAAUGCUCACUUCUGGAAGCAUCACAUGGAAUUACCACAAUGAUUUAUUUUCAGGGCAUGUUGGAUGAUGGACAAAAGACUGUCAGAUAAUUCGAGUCAAGGAGUAGAUGAAUUCAAGAACGAAGUUUCAUUUAUUGCCAAACUACAGCACCGAAAUCUUGUGGUGCUUCUCGGGUGCUGCACUGAUAAAGGGGAAAGAAUAUUGAUCUAUGAAUACAUGCCCAAUAAAAGUUUAGAUUAUUUUAUUUUCGGUAUGGCCCUCCAAAUACUGAUAUGUUUUCUUAACUUUCUUAUAAUCUAAAAUAUUAAAUUAGUGUAAUCGUCUUAUUUCCCUUAGAAACUAUAACGUAAAUCACCCAAAUAUAGAGAAGUAUGGAUUUAUGGAUUAAUUUGAUGACAAAUGAAUAGAUGAAAAAUUAAGCAAGUCACUGGAUUGGUCAAGGCGCUACAACAUUAUAAAUGGCAUUGCUAAGGGACUUCUCUAUCUUCACCAUGACUCUAAAUUAAGAAUCAUUCAUAGAGAUCUCAAAGCUAGUAAUAUUUUACUUGAUCACGAGAUGAAUCCAAAAAUUUCAGACUUUGGCAUGGCAAGAAGUUUUGAAGGAAGUCAAACUGAAGCAAAUACAUCAAGAGUUGUGGGGACAUAGUAAGAAUUUCUACAACACUGCAAAUAUUUUUGUCUCUUUUGCUUAGAAACUGACAUCAUUUUGUUUUACCUCCCGCAGUGGUUACAUGCCUCCUGAGUAUGCUAUUGAUGGACUAUUCUCAGUUAAAUCUGAUGUUUAUAGUUUUGGUGUUUUACUGAUCGAGAUAGUGAGUGGGAAGAAAAAUAGAUUAUUCAAUCAUCCUGAUCACAGCUUUUAACCUUCUUGGACAUGUAAGUGCAUAUGAAUAUAUUCUAACGCUCUUAUCCUACACACUUAACUACUUUGGAUAAAUUAUAAAAUCAAUCUUUUUAGGCAUGGAAAAGUUAUAAAGAAGACGAGCUUUUAGGACUAAUCGAUGGGGUGCUCUCUUGGAGUCAAGUAACCAUAAUGAAGUGUUUCGAGUUAUCCAAAUUGGAUUAUUAUGCAUUCAACAAUAUCCAGAAGACAGACCGAGUAUGUCAUACGUGGUUCUUAUGUUGAGUAGUAAUAUUGCACUGCCUCAUCCUAAACAACCAGGUUUUUUCACCGAGAGAAAACUGCACGAAGCAUAUUAUUCAUUGAGCAAACCAAUAUUGUCUUCAUCCAACCAAUUAACUAUUACGGUUCUUUCACCUCGAUUGUAAUGCUUAGUGCCUUUGGUACCUCAAUUUUAUUAUAAAUAGUUGUACAUGAUGUAAUCAAUCAAGAGUUAUAUUUUUCUAUAAGAUGGAGGCAAUCAUACUGCCAAGCAAGAGCUUUGAAGCUGAAAUUUUUUAUCAUUUUGUUAGCAUCAAAAACAAAAAACAUAUACAUACUACAUGUGCAUACUUGCAAGCCGGGAAUACACUGAAACGUAGAUAAUGGUCUCAACCGCCAAACUGCAUAAAAAUUGAUUCUGAAGGAUCAAAAGACUUUCAUAAAUCACUGCUACAGUAGUAGUAUGAUAACAAUCUGCCUAUAUUCAUAGUCAUUGAUAAUUAUAUUUUUUGAGCUCAAGAGAAUUUUUGACCAUGAUUUGUUGCACAUUCGAGAAGUUGACCCCAAUUAAAAAAAAGGUUUGACAAAUUGAACAUUUAAGUACAUGGAUUUCUAGAACAAUAUCUUUACUUUUGACAAGAAAUAGCCAUGUGCAUUAGGCAGGCAAUCAUAAGGGUAUUUGGGUAGUUUUGGCAUUUUCAUUCUUCAUAUCUUUGUUCUCAUUUUUUAUAACCAUUGCCACCACCGCCGCCAGAGAAGGAAAUGAUGGCAAUAACGGCCAUUAGGCAGUCUUGUUUUGCAAUUCUAUGGUGCAUCUGUAGUUUUAACCCCUUCCAGUUAUGCAAACUUGUUUACAUUCAUGAUGAAUAGAGAAAUUAGAUUUACACAGCUUUGGUUAUUCAGUCAUCUACAGGCCAUUCAACAUUAAGUUAAUCAGUUGCAUAUUAGGAAUUUAAGAAUUGAGCCAGAACUCUAAUGGAGGGUAUCUUUCAAUCAUCCAUUAAGUUUCUCUCUCUCAAUCAUCUACAGGGCAUUCAACAUUAAGUUUCUCUCUCUCAAUCAUCCAUGAGUUUGUUAGAUAUUAGAGGUAGAGAGUUUCGUUGAAAGAUUAAUUUGGUCUGCCAAAGUUAAUGGGUGGAUUUUAGCAGAUUAACUAAUGAAUCGGACCUAUUACCGACCAAGUAUGCUUAUUGAAUUCUUCUUGUAAUAUAGUACUCAUAUAAUAAGCAAUCCAUUGAAGAAACAGAAUCAAACAUCAUACAUCAUUGAAUAAACAUUAAUUAGUGAAUUCCAAGUAAUGGUAUUUCUCUCAAGCAUUUCAUCAAACAUACAUUAUGCAAAAUCCAUUCCACUAAAAUUUGCAUAAGUUGAUGAAUUUAUUACCUGGGAAGGCGUCAAUUUGAAUACCCAAUUUGGCUAAGAACCUAUGGACUGACACAUCUUAGAUCUUCAGAAAUAUUUUCCGUGUAUGAGGUAUAAUUUCCAAGCACGGCAUUUUCAAAUAUGGACUCUGUCCAAGUCCAGCAUUUGGAAAUUGAACAACCUUGUAAACCUGAAAAACAAGCGACUGCCACCGUGCACUCUGUUAGGAAUCCUGUUAUGAGAGGAAUCAUAUUUUUUUGUAAGAUAUUAUUUUGGAAGUAGUCUUACUAUUUGUAGCAGGUAUAUUUAUUGCGUGAGAUUGUCCUAAUUAGAUUAGGAAAAGAGAAAUUGUGGGUACUCUGAUUAGACAGAGGUAGGACACAACCAAUAUGUUGUAACAUCCUAGAGUGAAGAGAGAGUGUAAUUGAGUCUUGGCUUGUUAUGUGAUCGAUGAUUUUUCAGCUUUUUUUGUGUGUAAAAAGUUGUACCAUGGAGAUUAAUAUAUUGAAAUUAAUUUUGUG
RNAcentral lists this long non-coding RNA (5489 nucleotides) under Panax ginseng (ginseng). Its description in RNAcentral is "long non-coding RNA (PGIN_LNC007165)". The record is from RNAcentral. Lineage: Eukaryota; Viridiplantae; Streptophyta; Magnoliopsida; Apiales; Araliaceae.